Molecule: long non-coding RNA, 1803 nt
Filed under: Mus musculus (house mouse)
Lineage: Eukaryota; Metazoa; Chordata; Mammalia; Rodentia; Muridae
Description: long non-coding RNA chr19:10537040-10538843
Source: RNAcentral
AGUGUGUAACUAACUCCAGUCAAAUGUCAAGACCUACUUUGUAGAAAACAACUCAGUGCCUUGACUGUGAGAAAUAGAUACUAUUUCCUGUUUGUAUUUAUUAUAGAAUAUAAUUGCUGUCUCAGAGAGAUCUUGAUCUCAGAAGUGAUCUUUAGACUUUAUGUUUAUGCAGCAGCUCCAACUCCAAGUAGAAUUAAAAGCCCUGGGGUUUUAGAAGUGGUAUCUCAACUAGAUGGUGCUCUGUUACACUAAGAAGUCUGGGCAGAGCUGGUAGCCUGUGGAUAGGCUGUCCUCUGAAGGCAAGUCUCUUGUCAUCAUAAGGCAUAUUACCCUUUCAGCUAACUUGCCCUGCUCUCAGCAGUAUAUGUAGAAUCAGCAACUAGGAUUCUGCGAGCCCUGGACAUAAAAGAAGAGACUGUAGAAUAGGAAGUUUAUAGACAGAUACUCCGUGGGUAGAGCAAUGGCCUGGCAUACUAGAAUAGAAAGGUUUGGAGUUCUGGUCCAAGUCACUCACUUUCUCCCCGGGAGUUGCCCACAUGGAUCUAAAUGUAAUAUAGACUAUUAGUACUCAAAGAAGUAAGUUCAAAUUGACUGUUAAGCGGUUUCCCAUCAUUUCUGACCUUUGGUUUUAAUUUGAUUCUACACAGUAGUUUAAAAACAAAGUAUGUGUUCUUGUCAGUUUUUCCCUCACCAGAACAACAUAACUUGACCUCUUAAGUUAUAUAAUACAUGUACAUUGUUAUACAAUACACAGAAGAGUUCAGAGGAAAUCAUCUUUGUUCCUUUUUCAAUGUCAGUCCCAUCACCCUGAGAUGGCAGAUAAGUAAAUCUUUUUAUCUCCCUCUCUUUUUCUUAUUCCAGUCGUAGAAACUAUAAUAUUUAUUCUCUGUGCCUCUAAAACAGAACUUCCUUGCCUGUAUGGAGCUGCUAUUGCCAGUGUCCUGGUCCUUCACAGCGCCACGCUUCCUUCAUAGUCUCUGUCCAUUCUGUUCUUCCUACUUUGCAUAAAGGAAGCCGCCCAGUUUUGAUUUUCAGCGGACAUCUGUGGAUUUGUUGAGUCAGGUGCACAUUUGGGAAAUGAAAGGUCUAGUUAUUGAAGGCAGCCUGAUGAUUUUUUUUAAAUGUACAAGUAUAGGUAUGAGAAAGAGAUGAUAUUUUAGACAGUUUGUAUACCACAAUGGCCCCAUAGGAGGGGAGUAUGUAUGUAUGUAUAUACAGUGUGUGUGUUUGUGUAUGUUGUAUAACAUCUAGUAAAACCUGAGUUUAUGUAAGUACACUCUGUAGUGUUUUAACAAUGAUGAAACUACGCAACAGCAAAUUUCUCAGUGUGUUGCCCUGUCAUUGAAAGCUGUAUAUAAUAGAGUGUGUAUAUUAUAUAUACAUAUAAUAGAGGUAUUAUAGUAUAUAUUAUAGUAUAUAAAUAUAAUAGAGGUGUAUGAGCUAACAUAUAUGUAUGAUUAUAAAUUUGAAAUAUGUAGAUUUCAGACAUAUUUUCAAACGCCUUUAAUCCCAGCUCUCAGGAGGCAGAAGCAGGUGAGAUCCUGCCUUGAAAAAAAUAAUUGUAGACUCAAUACUGUGUUUAAGAAAAAAAAUGAAAAUUUUCUGUGAGGACUACCAAGACUACCUUCUGAAUGGUGGGUAUUCCUCCAGUUUGGGGGAUGAAUACACAUAUCACAACAUAUAUAUAAUUUUGGUUGUUUUUUUAGGAAAAUGAACUGCAAGGCUGGAUAUGUAUAGAUUGGUGAUGGAUCAGUUACCUAGUAUGCUCAAAGCUCUUAAGUUCAACACCCAAUACCACAUAGG